UACAGAGGGGGCAAGCGUUGUUCGGAAUUACUGGGCGUAAAGGGCGCGUAGGCGGCCAACUAAGUCGGACGUGAAAUCCCCCGGCUUAACCUGGGAACUGCGUCUGAUACUGGGAGGCUUGAGUAUGGGAGAGGGAUGUAGAAUUCCAGGUGUAGCGGUGAAAUGCGUAGAUAUCUGGAGGAACACCGGUGGCGAAGGCGGCAUCCUGGACCGACACUGACGCUGAGGCGCGAAAGCUAGGGUAGCAAACGGG
Molecule: ribosomal RNA, 253 nt
Filed under: uncultured bacterium
Lineage: Bacteria
Description: partial 16S ribosomal RNA
Rfam family: Bacterial small subunit ribosomal RNA
Source: RNAcentral